GACGAACGCUGGCGGCGUGCCUAAUACAUGCAAGUAGAACGCUGAAGAGAGGAGCUUGCUCUUCUUGGAUGAGUUGCGAACGGGUGAGUAACGCGUAGGUAACCUGCCUGGUAGCGGGGGAUAACUAUUGGAAACGAUAGCUAAUACCGCAUAAAAUUGAUUAUUGCAUGAUAAUUAAUUGAAAGAUGCAAUUGCAUCACUACCAGAUGGACCUGCGUUGUAUUAGCUAGUUGGUGAGGUAACGGCUCACCAAGGCGACGAUACAUAGCCGACCUGAGAGGGUGAUCGGCCGCACUGGGACUGAGACACGGCCCAGACUCCUACGGGAGGCAGCAGUAGGGAAUCUUCGGCAAUGGGGGGAACCCUGACCGAGCAACGCCGCGUGAGUGAAGAAGGUUUUCGGAUCGUAAAGCUCUGUUGUAAGAGAAGAACGGGUGUGAGAGUGGAAAGUUCACACUGUGACGGUAUCUUACCAGAAAGGGACGGCUAACUACGUGCCAGCAGCCGCGGUAAUACGUAGGUCCCGAGCGUUGUCCGGAUUUAUUGGGCGUAAAGCGAGCGCAGGCGGUUAGAUAAGUCUGAAGUUAAAGGCUGUGGCUUAACCAUAGUAUGCUUUGGAAACUGUUUAACUUGAGUGCAGAAGGGGAGAGUGGAAUUCCAUGUGUAGCGGUGAAAUGCGUAGAUAUAUGGAGGAACACCGGUGGCGAAAGCGGCUCUCUGGUCUGUAACUGACGCUGAGGCUCGAAAGCGUGGGGAGCAAACAGGAUUAGAUACCCUGGUAGUCCACGCCGUAAACGAUGAGUGCUAGGUGUUAGGCCCUUUCCGGGGCUUAGUGCCGCAGCUAACGCAUUAAGCGCUCCGCCUGGGGAGUACGACCGCAAGGUUGAAACUCAAAGGAAUUGACGGGGGCCCGCACAAGCGGUGGAGCAUGUGGUUUAAUUCGAAGCAACGCGAAGAACCUUACCAGGUCUUGACAUCCCUCUGACCGCUCUAGAGAUAGAGUUUUCCUUCGGGACAGAGGUGACAGGUGGUGCAUGGUUGUCGUCAGCUCGUGUCGUGAGAUGUUGGGUUAAGUCCCGCAACGAGCGCGACCCCUAUUGUUAGUUGCCAUCAUUCAGUUGGGCACUCUAGCGAGACUGCCGGUAAUAAACCGGAGGAAGGUGGGGAUGACGUCAAAUCAUCAUGCCCCUUAUGACCUGGGCUACACACGUGCUACAAUGGCUGGUACAACGAGUCGCAAGCCGGUGACGGCAAGCUAAUCUCUGAAAGCCAGUCUCAGUUCGGAUUGUAGGCUGCAACUCGCCUACAUGAAGUCGGAAUCGCUAGUAAUCGCGGAUCAGCACGCCGCGGUGAAUACGUUCCCGGGCCU
Molecule: ribosomal RNA, 1369 nt
Filed under: uncultured bacterium
Lineage: Bacteria
Description: bacterial SSU rRNA
Rfam family: Bacterial small subunit ribosomal RNA
Source: RNAcentral